This 294-nucleotide ribosomal RNA is filed under the name uncultured bacterium. Its description in RNAcentral is "partial 16S ribosomal RNA". It matches the Rfam family "Bacterial small subunit ribosomal RNA", at positions 775 to 1067 of the family's 1533-position model. The record is from RNAcentral.
GGAUUAGAUACCCUGGUAGUCCACGCCGUAAACGAUGUGUGCUAGCCGUUUGUGAUUUAUCGCAAGUGGUGCAGCUAACGCGUUAAGCACACCGCCUGGGGAGUACGAUCGCAAGAUUAAAACUCAAAGGAAUUGACGGGGGCCCGCACAAGCGGUGGAGCAUGUGGUUUAAUUCGACGCAACGCGAAGAACCUUACCAGGUCUUGACAUCCUGAUUUUGGUCGUUAGAAAUAACUUCCUUCAGUUCGGCUGGAUCAGUGACAGGUGCUGCAUGGCUGUCGUCAGCUCGUGCCG